This 833-nucleotide long non-coding RNA is filed under the name Nicotiana tabacum (common tobacco). Its description in RNAcentral is "long non-coding RNA (NTAB_LNC017499)". The record is from RNAcentral. Lineage: Eukaryota; Viridiplantae; Streptophyta; Magnoliopsida; Solanales; Solanaceae.
AUAGCUCAACAUGGUGGAGUUCCAAUGAAGUGCAGUCUUCACAGUCUCUACCGAAAAAUUUAACCUCAGAAGUGGUAUUUCAACCUCCGCCCUGUCAGCAGAUGAAGCCUCUUGGUCUGGGAUUACAAGGCGACGACUCAUACUCCACCCAAUCAAAUAGUAACUCCCCGCUAGAAGUGACUGCUUUGGGGAAAACAGGUUCUCGAGAUCAAUGCGCUUCUUCUGGAUCUGUUCACGACGAGAGCUACAAAAGGAAUAAGCAAGCUCAAAUCAAGACUAAUCCUUUUAUUAGAUAUCCAGAAUAUCCCACCGAUUGUUCACAAAGUGAAAUGGCCCAUUCAAUUAGCCACGCUCCUUUUGGUUACUCCGACCCCUAUCUCAGUGGCUUUUAUGCUGCUUACGGACCUCAUGUUUUUCCUCAAAUGAUUGGCAUAGCACCUGCACGGGUCCCAUUACCCCUCGAUCUUGCAGAAGAUGGACCGGUUUAUGUAAAUGCGAAACAGUAUCAUGGGAUCUUAAGGCGAAGACAGAUGCGUGCUAAGCUUGAGGCUCAAAACAAACUUGUCAAAGCUAGAAAGCCGUAUCUUCAUGAAUCACGGCAUCUUCACGCGGUAAAGAGGGUUAGAGGGUCCGGAGGGCGUUUUCUUAGCACAAAGAAGCUUCAAGAAUCAAUUCCAAACGACUUGAAUUCUUCUCAGGAUUUGGUUACACGUGAGGCUCACAUUUCUUCUUUCUUGAGCGUCCGACAGGAUGCUGCGCAUAACAGCGUCAUUUUCCAGCAGCAGCAGCAUGAUCACAGGGCCUCAAGUCUAUCCUCUCACAUGGCUGUUUCC